Non-coding RNA from Caenorhabditis elegans, 150 nucleotides. Lineage: Eukaryota; Metazoa; Nematoda; Chromadorea; Rhabditida; Rhabditidae. The record is from Ensembl.
GCAGGCUAGAGUCUCGCUCGUUAUCGGAAUAAACCAGACAAAUCACUCCACCAACUAAGAACGGCCAUGCACCACCAACCACCAAAUCGAGAAAGAGCUUUCAAUCUGUCAGUCCUAAUGGUGUCCGGACCGGGUGAGUUUUCCCGUGUU